GAUGAACGCUGGCGGCGUGCCUAAUACAUGCAAGUCGAGCGAACAGACGAGGAGCUUGCUCCUCUGACGUUAGCGGCGGACGGGUGAGUAACACGUGGAUAACCUACCUAUAAGACUGGGAUAACUUCGGGAAACCGGAGCUAAUACCGGAUAAUAUAUUGAACCGCAUGGUUCAAUAGUGAAAGACGGUCUUGCUGUCACUUAUAGAUGGAUCCGCGCCGCAUUAGCUAGUUGGUAAGGUAACGGCUUACCAAGGCAACGAUGCGUAGCCGACCUGAGAGGGUGAUCGGCCACACUGGAACUGAGACACGGUCCAGACUCCUACGGGAGGCAGCAGUAGGGAAUCUUCCGCAAUGGGCGAAAGCUUGACGGAGCAACGCCGCGUGAGUGAUGAAGGUCUUCGGAUCGUAAAACUCUGUUAUUAGGGAAGAACAAAUGUGUAAGUAACUGUGCACGUCUUGACGGUACCUAAUCAGAAAGCCACGGCUAACUACGUG
This 497-nucleotide ribosomal RNA is filed under the name uncultured bacterium. RNAcentral's name for it is "partial 16S ribosomal RNA". It matches the Rfam family "Bacterial small subunit ribosomal RNA", at positions 28 to 507 of the family's 1533-position model. The record is from RNAcentral.